This 1027-nucleotide long non-coding RNA is filed under the name Malus domestica (apple). RNAcentral's name for it is "long non-coding RNA (MDOM_LNC006344)". The record is from RNAcentral. Lineage: Eukaryota; Viridiplantae; Streptophyta; Magnoliopsida; Rosales; Rosaceae.
UUUUUGUGCGCGGCUAGCUAAUUUAACACUCUAUUUUCUUGCCUCAUGCAUGCUUAUAAAACGUUCAGUUUUGAGUGCAGAUAGCCUGUGUUUGAUCCUAUAUGGUAGAGAGAGAAUCUCUUAAGCUUUCCCGACUUGAAACUAAUUUUCUUGUACAUGUUCACGUUCCAGCUUGUGCCUCCAGUGUGGACAGCUUGCACGGGAGAAGGCGAAGCGCAGGAGAAGGCGAAAGAGUCUGCGUUAGAAUCACUAGCACUUCUUGAGAAGCAGAUCGAAGGGAAGAAGUUUUUCGGCGGAGAACAAAUAGGGUAUCUAGAUUUAGUAUUGGGGUGGAUAUCUUACUGGAUAAGUGGUGUGGAAGAAGCUGGAGGCAACAAGGUACUUGAAGCAGAGAUGUUUCCAUCUCUCCACCAAUGGGGUCAGAACUUCAUCCACAAUCCACUCAUUGAAGAAUGCAUUCCGGCUAGAGAGGCGUUUGUCGCCUACGUCCAAUAUGCCAUCAAUUGUAAGAUAUUUCUGAAAUCAUAAGAACAACAACAAGAGAUUAGGAUCACAGAUUUGAUAAACCAAAAUUACAAUAAAUCAAUUACAAUUUACUUAUCUUUGGAAUACGGAAGACAUAGCUCUUGCGGAUGACAAAGGAGUCUUCUACUUUCAACAAGCAGAAGUGUUCCAGCAAUAAUAGGGUUUGCUCGGAAUGGAACGUGUAUUUUGUGAAAGCAGGGACACCCUUAAUAUAGUGAUUAGGGUUCUCCUAAUUCCGCCUAUUAUAGUAAUUAGAGGAAUACACCAAAUCACCAUUUAUUCUUAAUGUUGUCCCACCAAGGCAUGUACAAUAUGUCUUACUUAAUUAGGGUUUCAAUUAGUCAACUAAAUAUAUCUUGGUUCCAUGAUUCUUGCCAACCAAUAUUGAAUCACAUUAAAAGCCAAAUAUCUUGAAGAUCAAGUUAUUUGUCUUUCAAGUAAUUCGAUUCAUAAUAAUUGACAACUCAACAUGAGUCUUACAUCAAUUACAUUCGUUCCAUAU